UAAAGCGGGUGAAAAGCCCGCUCGCCGGAAGACCAAGGGUUCCUGUCCAACGUUAAUCGGGGCAGGGUGAGUCGACCCCUAAGGCGAGGCCGAAAGGCGUAGUCGAUGGGAAACAGGUUAAUAUUCCUGUACUUGGUGUUACUGCGAAGGGGGGACGGAGAAGGCUAUGUUGGCCGGGCGACGGUUGUCCCGGUUUAAGCGUGUAGGCUGGUUUUCCAGGCAAAUCCGGAAAACCAAGGCUGAGGCGUGAUGACGAGGCACUACGGUGCUGAAGCGACAAAUGCCCUGCUUCCAGGAAAAGCCUCUAAGCAUCAGGUAACAUCAAAUCGUACCCCAAACCGACACAGGUGGUCAGGUAGAGAAUACCAAGGCGCUUGAGAGAACUCGGGUGAAGGAACUAGGCAAAAUGGUGCCGUAACUUCGGGAGAAGGCACGCUGAUAUGUAGGUGAAGCGACUUGCUCGUGGAGCUGAAAUCAGUCGAAGAUACCAGCUGGCUGCAACUGUUUAUUAAAAACACAGCACUGUGCAAACACGAAAGUGGACGUAUACGGUGUGACGCCUGCCCGGUGCCGGAAGGUUAAUUGAUGGGGUUAGCGGUAACGCGAAGCUCUUGAUCGAAGCCCCGGUAAACGGCGGCCGUAACUAUAACGGUCCUAAGGUAGCGAAAUUCCUUGUCGGGUAAGUUCCGACCUGCACGAAUGGCGUAAUGAUGGCCAGGCUGUCUCCACCCGAGACUCAGUGAAAUUGAACUCGCUGUGAAGAUGCAGUGUACCCGCGGCAAGACGGAAAGACCCCGUGAACCUUUACUAUAGCUUGACACUGAACAUUGAGCCUUGAUGUGUAGGAUAGGUGGGAGGCUUUGAAGUGUGGACGCCAGUCUGCAUGGAGCCGACCUUGAAAUACCACCCUUUAAUGUUUGAUGUUCUAACGUUGGCCCGUAAUCCGGGUUGCGGACAGUGUCUGGUGGGUAGUUUGACUGGGGCGGUCUCCUCCUAAAGAGUAACGGAGGAGCACGAAGGUUGGCUAAUCCUGGUCGGACAUCAGGAGGUUAGUGCAAUGGCAUAAGCCAGCUUGACUGCGAGCGUGACGGCGCGAGCAGGUGCGAAAGCAGGUCAUAGUGAUCCGGUGGUUCUGAAUGGAAGGGCCAUCGCUCAACGGAUAAAAGGUACUCCGGGGAUAACAGGCUGAUACCGCCCAAGAGUUCAUAUCGACGGCGGUGUUUGGCACCUCGAUGUCGGCUCAUCACAUCCUGGGGCUGAAGUAGGUCCCAAGGGUAUGGCUGUUCGCCAUUUAAAGUGGUACGCGAGCUGGGUUUAGAACGUCGUGAGACAGUUCGGUCCCUAUCUGCCGUGGGCGCUGGAGAACUGAGGGGGGCUGCUCCUAGUACGAGAGGACCGGAGUGGACGCAUCACUGGUGUUCGGGUUGUCAUGCCAAUGGCACUGCCCGGUAGCUAAAUGCGGAAGAGAUAAGUGCUGAAAGCAUCUAAGCACGAAACUUGCCCCGAGAUGAGUUCUCCCUGACUCCUUGAGAGUCCUGAAGGAACGUUGAAGACGACGACGUUGAUAGGCCGGGUGUGUAAGCGCAGCGAUGCGUUGAGCUAACCGGUACUAAUGAACCGUGAGGCUUAACCUUACAACGCCGAAG
Molecule: ribosomal RNA, 1646 nt
Filed under: Escherichia coli
Lineage: Bacteria; Pseudomonadati; Pseudomonadota; Gammaproteobacteria; Enterobacterales; Enterobacteriaceae
Description: partial 23S ribosomal RNA
Rfam family: Bacterial large subunit ribosomal RNA
Source: RNAcentral